UAACGUUAGUAGGUGAGCUCGCGGGGCUCAA
Molecule: non-coding RNA, 31 nt
Filed under: Bombyx mori (domestic silkworm)
Lineage: Eukaryota; Metazoa; Arthropoda; Insecta; Lepidoptera; Bombycidae
Source: RNAcentral